AUUGAACGCUGGCGGAAUGCUUUACACAUGCAAGUCGAACGGCAGCACGGACUUCGGUCUGGUGGCGAGUGGCGAACGGGUGAGUAACAUAUCGGAACGUAUCCAAUAAUGGGGGAUAACGAGUCGAAAGAUUCGCUAAUACCGCAUACGCCCUACGGGGAAAGCUGGGGACCUUCGGGCCUGGCGUUAAUGGAGCGGCCGAUAUCUGAUUAGCUAGUUGGGGAGGUAAAGGCUCACCAAGGCGACGAUCAGUAGCUGGUCUGAGAGGACGACCAGCCACACUGGAACUGAUACACGGUCCAGACUCCUACGGGAGGCAGCAGUGGGGAAUUUUGGACAAUGGGCGCAAGCCUGAUUCAGCCAUUCCGCGUGAGUGAAGAAGGCCUUCGGGUUGUAAAGCUCUUUCGCAAGGGAAGAAAACUUAGCCACUAACAUUGGUUGAGGUUGACGGUACCUUGAUAAGAAGCACCGGCUAACUACGUGCCAGCAGCCGCGGUAA
Molecule: ribosomal RNA, 499 nt
Filed under: uncultured bacterium
Lineage: Bacteria
Description: partial 16S ribosomal RNA
Rfam family: Bacterial small subunit ribosomal RNA
Source: RNAcentral